Molecule: small RNA, 1517 nt
Filed under: uncultured marine bacterium
Lineage: Bacteria
Description: bacterial SSU rRNA
Rfam family: Bacterial small subunit ribosomal RNA (bases 1-993)
Source: RNAcentral
AAGGGACCUAGCGUAGUUCGGAAUUACUGGGCUUAAAGAGUUCGUAGGUGGUUGAAAAAGUUGGUGGUGAAAUCCCAGAGCUUAACUCUGGAACUGCCAUCAAAACUUUUCAGCUAGAGUAUGAUAGAGGAAAGCAGAAUUUCUAGUGUAGAGGUGAAAUUCGUAGAUAUUAGAAAGAAUACCAAUUGCGAAGGCAGCUUUCUGGAUCAUUACUGACACUGAGGAACGAAAGCAUGGGUAGCGAAGAGGAUUAGAUACCCUCGUAGUCCAUGCCGUAAACGAUGUGUGUUAGACGUUGGAAAUUUAUUUUCAGUGUCGCAGGGAAACCGAUAAACACACCGCCUGGGGAGUACGACCGCAAGGUUAAAACUCAAAUGAAUUGACGGGGACCCGCACAAGUAGUGGAGCAUGUGGUUUAAUUCGAAGAUACGCGCAGAACCUUACCAACACUUGACAUGUUCGUCGCGACUCUAAGAGAUUAGAGUUUUCGGUUCGGCCGGACGAAACACAGGUGCUGCAUGGCUGUCGUCAGCUCGUGUCGUGAGAUGUUGGGUUAAGUCCCGCAACGAGCGCAACCCUCACUUUUAGUUGCCAUCAUUAAGUUGGGCACUCUGAAAGAACUGCCAGUGAUAAGCUGGAGGAAGGUGGGGAUGACGUCAAGUCCUCAUGGCCCUUACGUGUUGGGCUACACACGUGCUACAAUGGCAUCUACAACAGGAAGCAAAACGGCAACGUUAAGCAAAUCCCGAAAAGAUGCCUCAGUUCGGAUUGCGCUCUGCAACUCGAGUGCAUGAAGCUGGAAUUACUAGUAAUCGUGGAUCAGCGUGCCACGGUGAUUGCGUUCCCGGGUCUUGUACACACCGCCCGUCACACCAUGGGAGUUGGUUCUACCUUAAGGCAAGGUUUAAACCCUUGACCACGGUAUAGUCAGCGACUGGGGUGAAGUCGUAACAAGGUAGCCGUAGGGGAACCUGCGGCUGGAUUACCUCCUUUCUAAGGAUGAGUGAAAGUAAAAUUUCACUCUAAAUAAUAUACAUCGGUAAUGUUGACCGUCCUCAUUUCUCUUCUUAAAGUAAUGUUUCCUUCUUGUAGGGCCGGUAGCUCAGUUGGUUAGAGCACACCCUUGAUAAGGGUGGGGUCGAAAGUUCGAGUCUUUCUCGGCCCACCAAAAACCUAAAUGGGGGAUUAGCUCAUCUGGGAGAGCGCCUGAUUUGCAUUCAGGAGGUAGCAGGUUCGAUCCCUGUAUCCUCCACCAGGAAACAUUUAGUUAUUAAAACUGUAAAUAAAAAUAAUUUAUAUCAAUAUCUAUAUCCGAACAUUAAAAGUUAUUAUUUAAUGUUCAAAAUAAAAAUUUGAUCACAACAUAGAUAAAUUUUCUGUUAAAAGAAUUUUUUUCUGUGCAUAAAUCAAGCGUUUAAGGGCGUGUAGUGGAUGCCUUGGCACUGAAAGCCGAUGAAGGACGUGAUAUACUGCGAUAAGUUUCGGGGAGCUGUAUGUAAGCUUUGAUCCGAAAAUUU